GAUGAMCGCUAGCGCCAGGCUUAACMCAUGCAAGUCGAGGGGUAUAGUAGCAAUACUAGAGACCGCCGCACGGGUGCGUAACGCGUAUGCAAUCUMCCUUUUACAGAGGGAUAGCCCAGAGAAAUUKGGAUUAAUACCUCAUAGUAUAGUGACUSGGCAUCGAGAUAUUAUUAAAGUUACAACGGUAAAAGACGAGCAUGCGUCCCMUUAGCUAGUUGGUAAGGUAACGGCUUACCAAGGCGACGAUGGGUAGGGGUCCUGAGAGGGAGAUCCCCCCCMCUGGUACUGAGMCMCGGMCCAGACUCCUMCGGGAGSCACCAGUGAGGAAUAUUGGCCAAUGGGCSCAASCCUGAUCCASCCAUSCCGCGUSCAGGAAGMCGGUCCUAUGGAUUGUAAACUGCUUUUGUMCGGGAAGAAMCACCAGUUCGUGAACUGCCUUGACGGUACCGUAAGAAUAAGGAUSGGCUAACUCCGCC
This 476-nucleotide ribosomal RNA is filed under the name uncultured bacterium. RNAcentral's name for it is "partial 16S ribosomal RNA". It matches the Rfam family "Bacterial small subunit ribosomal RNA", at positions 28 to 507 of the family's 1533-position model. The record is from RNAcentral.